This 253-nucleotide ribosomal RNA is filed under the name uncultured bacterium. Its description in RNAcentral is "partial 16S ribosomal RNA". It matches the Rfam family "Bacterial small subunit ribosomal RNA", at positions 524 to 776 of the family's 1533-position model. The record is from RNAcentral.
UACGUAGGGGGCAAGCGUUGUCCGGAAUCAUUGGGCGUAAAGCGCGCGUAGGCGGCCCGGUAAGUCCGCUCUGAAAGUCCAGGGCUCAACCCUGGAAAGCGGGUGGAUACUGCCGGGCUAGAAUCCGGAAGAGGCGAGUGGAAUUCCUGGUGUAGCGGUGGAAUGCGCAGAUAUCAGGAAGAACACCAAUGGCGAAGGCAGCUCUCUGGGACGGUACUGACGCUGAGACGCGAAAGCGUGGGGAGCGAACAGG